GAGUUUGAUCAUGGCUCAGAUUGAACGCUGGCGGCAUGCCUUACACAUGCAAGUCGAACGACGCUAGGGGCAACUCUAGCGAGUGGCGAACGGGUGAGUAAUACAUCGGAACGUGUCCUGUCGUGGGGGAUAACCAGUCGAAAGAUUGGCUAAUACCGCAUGACCUCGCAAGAGAAGAGCGGAGGACCGCAAGGCUUCGCGCGAUUGGAGCGGCCGAUGUCGGAUUAGCUAGUUGGCGGGGUAAAAGCCCACCAAGGCGACGAUCCGUAGCUGGUUUGAGAGAACGACCAGCCACACUGGGACUGAGACACGGCCCAGACUCCUACGGGAGGCAGCAGUGGGGAAUUUUGGACAAUGGGGGCAACCCUGAUCCAGCCAUGCCGCGUGUGUGAAGAAGGCCUUCGGUUGUAAG
RNAcentral lists this ribosomal RNA (412 nucleotides) under uncultured beta proteobacterium. Its description in RNAcentral is "bacterial SSU rRNA". It matches the Rfam family "Bacterial small subunit ribosomal RNA", at positions 9 to 429 of the family's 1533-position model. Lineage: Bacteria; Pseudomonadati; Pseudomonadota; Betaproteobacteria. The record is from RNAcentral.